AGAGAUUUAGGUUAAUACAACUAAACCCAGAGCCUUCAAAACUCUAGAUGGGGGUUAAAAUCUCCCAACCUCUG
This 74-nucleotide transfer RNA is filed under the name Renova oscari. RNAcentral's name for it is "tRNA-Trp". It matches the Rfam family "tRNA". From Rfam's summary of the family: Transfer RNA (tRNA) molecules are approximately 80 nucleotides in length. Their secondary structure includes four short double-helical elements and three loops (D, anti-codon, and T loops). Further hydrogen bonds mediate the characteristic L-shaped molecular structure. tRNAs have two regions of fundamental functional importance: the anti-codon, which is responsible for specific mRNA codon recognition, and the 3' end, to which the tRNAs corresponding amino acid is attached (by aminoacyl-tRNA synthetases). tRNAs cope with the degeneracy of the genetic code in two manners: having more than one tRNA (with a specific anti-codon) for a particular amino acid; and 'wobble' base-pairing, i.e. permitting non-standard base-pairing at the 3rd anti-codon position. The record is from RNAcentral. Lineage: Eukaryota; Metazoa; Chordata; Actinopteri; Cyprinodontiformes; Rivulidae.